RNAcentral lists this ribosomal RNA (307 nucleotides) under uncultured eukaryote. RNAcentral's name for it is "partial 18S ribosomal RNA". It matches the Rfam family "Eukaryotic small subunit ribosomal RNA", at positions 1470 to 1796 of the family's 1831-position model. The record is from RNAcentral.
CCCUUAGACGUUAUGGGCCGCACGCGCGCUACACUGAAGAAGGCAACGAGCUUUCCUUUACCGAAAGGUACGGGUAAUCUUUUGAAACUUCGUCGUGCUGGGGAUAGAUCCUUGCAAUUUUUGAUCUUAAACGAGGAAUGCCUAGUAAGCGCAAGUCAUCAACUUGCGUUGAUUACGUCCCUGCCCUUUGUACACACCGCCCGUCGCUACUACCGAUUGAAUGGUUUAGUGAGGCCUUCGGAUCCGCGACUCGUUUGUGGAGAAGUUGGACAAACUCAGUCAUUUAGAGGAAGUAAAAGUCGUAACA